This 289-nucleotide ribosomal RNA is filed under the name bacterium M00.F.Ca.ET.191.01.1.1. RNAcentral's name for it is "partial 23S ribosomal RNA". It matches the Rfam family "Bacterial large subunit ribosomal RNA", at positions 1255 to 1649 of the family's 2925-position model. The record is from RNAcentral.
GCCGUACCCGUGAGGGGCGGUGGAGGUAUCAGAAGUGCGAAUGCUGACAUGAGUAACGUAAGGGGAGUGAGAGACUCCCUCGCCGAAAGACCAAGGGUUCCUGCUUAAAGUUAAUCUGAGCAGGGUUAGCCGGCCCCUAAGACGAGGCGGACACGCGUAGUCGAUGGGAACCACGUUAAUAUUCGUGGGCCUGGUGGUAGUGACGGAUCUCGUGUGUUGUUCAACCUUAUUGGAUUGGUUGGGCGGCGAAGAGGUUCCAGGAAAUAGCUCCACCGUAUAGACCGUACCC